AUUGAACGCUGGCGGCAGGCCUAACACAUGCAAGUCGAACGAGUGGCGGACGGGUGAGUAAUGUCUGGGACACUGCCCGAUGGAGGGGGAUAACUACUGGAAACGGUAGCUAAUACCGCAUACCAUCGGAUGUGCCCAGAUGGGAUUAGCUUGUAGGUGAGGUAACGGCUCACCUGGGCGACGAUACCUAGCUGGUCGGAGAGGAUGACCAGUCAGACUGGAACGAAGACACGGUCCAGACUCCUACGGGAGGCAACAGUGGGGAAUAUUGCACAAGGGGCGGAAGCAGGAUGUAGCCAUGCCGCGGGUAUGAAGAAGGCCUUCGGUUUUUAAAGUACUUGCAGCUGGGAGGCGUUACCCGAAGAAGAAGCACCGGCUAACUCCGUGCCAGCAGCAGCGGUAAUGC
This 406-nucleotide ribosomal RNA is filed under the name uncultured bacterium. Its description in RNAcentral is "partial 16S ribosomal RNA". It matches the Rfam family "Bacterial small subunit ribosomal RNA", at positions 30 to 526 of the family's 1533-position model. The record is from RNAcentral.